UCGGGAUUACGGGAUUCACUCCAAACCCCUGUGACAUACCAAUUGUUGCCUCGGCGGAUCAGCCCGCUCCCGGUAAAACGGGACGGCCCGCCAGAGGACCCCUAAACUCUGUUUCUAUAUGUAACUUCUGAGUAAAACCAUAAAUAAAUCAAAACUUUCAACAACGGAUCUCUUGGUUCUGGCAUCGAUGAAGAACGCAGCAAAAUGCGAUAAGUAAUGUGAAUUGCAGAAUUCAGUGAAUCAUCGAAUCUUUCAACGCACAUUGCGCCCGCCAGUAUUCUGGCGGGCAUGCCUGUUCGAGCGUCAUUUCAACCCUCAAGCCCUCGGGUUUGGUGAAGGGGAUCGGCGAGCCCUUGCGGCAAGCCGGCCCCGAAAUCUAGUGGCGGUCUCGCUGCAGCUUCCAUUGCGUAGUAGUAAAACCCUCGCAACUGGUACGCGGCGCGGCCAAGCCGUUAAACCCCCAACUUCUGAAUGUUGACCUCGGAUCAGGUAGGAAUACCCGCUGUUCUUAAGCAUAUCAAUAACCGGAGGAAUUCAUUACGGAGUUUACAACUCAAACCUGGUGAACAUACAAUUGAAGCUCGGCGGAUCAGCCGCUCCGGUAAAACGGGAGGCCGCCAGAGGACCCUAAACUCUGUUUCUAUAUGUAAGUUCUGAGUAAAACAUAAAUAAAUCAAAACUUUCACGGAUCUCUGGUUUCGGCAUCAGAGAAGACAAAGCAUAAAAUAAAUGUGAAUUGCAGAAUUCGUGAAUCAUCAAUCUUGAACGCAAUUGCGCAUUGCGGGGGCUGCGGUUGGCGACUCUCCCCCGACUGUGUGUUGGGGGGAAUGGGAACUUGUGGGAGCGGCAAAUCUAUGGGGGGGUGUGCACUUUAUUGGGUAUAAUAAAACGAGCACCGGUAGGGCGGCGGCGAGCGAUGAUCCCACUCGGAAUGUGACCUCGAUCAGGAGGGAGAUACCCCGCACCUAUACCUACUAUAGACGGGGGGGAAGAGUGU
Molecule: ribosomal RNA, 997 nt
Filed under: fungal endophyte
Lineage: Eukaryota; Fungi
Description: eukaryotic LSU rRNA
Rfam family: 5.8S ribosomal RNA (bases 153-306)
Source: RNAcentral